CUACGGGUCGCAGCAGCUAAGAAUAUUCCGCAAUGGACGAAAGUCUGACGGAGCGACGCCGCGUGGAUGACGAAGGCCGAAAGGUUGUAAAGUCCUUUUGUCGAUGAAGAAUAAUUGUGGGAGGGAAUGCCCGCAAGAUGACGUUAGUCGGCGAAUAAGCCCCGGCUAAUUACGUGCCAGCAGCCGCGGUAACACGUAAGGGGCAAGCGUUGUUCGGAAUUAUUGGGCGUAAAGGGUACGUAGGCGGUUUGGUAAGCCCGGCGUGAAAUCCUACAGCUUAACUGUAGAGCUGCGCUGGGAACUGCGAAACUUGAGUCAUGGAAGGGGAGUUAGAAUUCCAGGUGUAGGGGUGAAAUCUGUAGAUAUCUGGAAGAAUACCGGUGGCGAAGGCGAACUCCUGGCCAAUGACUGACGCUGAGGUACGAAAGUGCGGGGAGCAAACAGGAUUAGAUACCCUUGUAGUC
RNAcentral lists this ribosomal RNA (464 nucleotides) under uncultured bacterium. Its description in RNAcentral is "partial 16S ribosomal RNA". It matches the Rfam family "Bacterial small subunit ribosomal RNA", at positions 339 to 795 of the family's 1533-position model. The record is from RNAcentral.